This 253-nucleotide ribosomal RNA is filed under the name uncultured bacterium. RNAcentral describes it as "partial 16S ribosomal RNA". It matches the Rfam family "Bacterial small subunit ribosomal RNA", at positions 524 to 776 of the family's 1533-position model. The record is from RNAcentral.
CACGUAGGGGGCGAGCGUUGUCCGGAUUCAUUGGGCGUAAAGGGCGCGCAGGCGGCCCGGAAAGUCGGAUGUGGAAACUCGAGGCUCAACCUCGAGCGUGCACCCGAUACUGCCGGGCUUGAGGCAGGUAGGGGAGAUCGGAAUUCCUGGUGUAGCGGUGAAAUGCGCAGAUAUCAGGAGGAACACCGGUGGCGAAGGCGGCUAUCUGGACAGAAACUGACGCUGAGGCGCGAAAGCUAGGGGAGCAAACAGG